RNAcentral lists this ribosomal RNA (492 nucleotides) under uncultured bacterium. RNAcentral describes it as "partial 16S ribosomal RNA". It matches the Rfam family "Bacterial small subunit ribosomal RNA", at positions 29 to 507 of the family's 1533-position model. The record is from RNAcentral.
AGUGAACGCUGGCGGUAGGCCUAACACAUGCAAGUCGAACGGCAGCACAGUAAGAGCUUGCUCUUACGGGUGGCGAGUGGCGGACGGGUGAGGAAUACAUCGGAAUCUACUUUUUCGUGGGGGAUAACGUAGGGAAACUUACGCUAAUACCGCAUACGACCUACGGGUGAAAGCAGGGGAUCUUCGGACCUUGCGCGAUUGAAUGAGCCGAUGUCGUAUUAGCUAGUUGGCGGGGUAAAGGCCCACCAAGGCGACGAUCCGUAGCUGGUCUGAGAGGAUGAUCAGCCACACUGGAACUGAGACACGGUCCAGACUCCUACGGGAGGCAGCAGUGGGCAAUAUUGGACAAUGGGCGCAAGCCUGAUCCAGCCAUACCGCGUGGGUGAAGAAGGCCUUCGGGUUGUAAAGCCCUUUUGUUGGGAAAGAAAAGCAGCAGGUUAAUACCCCGCUGUUCUGACGGUACCCAAAGAAUAAGCACCGGCUAACUUCGUG